GCCCAAGGACAUCAUCAGAGGACAUUGGUAGCUUUGCAGUAACCUGCCUUGGUUGCUUACAUGUUCCCUGACCUACAUGUUUGCAAAUCCACAUAAUGUUUCUUGGUCAUGCAGGUUCCUAUAAAUGAUGUCUGUUCGCAGAAGACUGAAGCCCCAGUUUCAACUAGCUUUUACAAGAAUUGAGGGGAUUGGAGCAGCAAAUGGUGAUGGACUUGUGGAAAGGAAAACUAAACCAAGUUCUGGACUUUCUGCUACUGAAUUCGAACCAACAGCAGUUGAAGUGUUAGAGAGAGAAGAUAUUAAGGAGUGGAAGCUGGUGGAGAAUCUGCUGAUUAGGCCCAAGAUGUGGUGAAUGAAAAGCUGAAUCUUUUCAUAUUGGAUUUUCUGAAGAGGCUAGCCUCAGCAGAGAUUUUCCCAGAUUCCUCAACUUUGCCGAGGCUUAAGGACUAACUCUCCCUGCCUGGGUUGAGCCAGGGGCUGGGAGAAAUUACUUAGAGCUUGGGCUAGAUAUCUUACCCUAUCCUCUCUCUGAAUUUCUAACUUCAC
Monodelphis domestica (gray short-tailed opossum) is the source of this 546-nucleotide long non-coding RNA. NCBI's taxonomy places the organism in Eukaryota, Metazoa, Chordata, Mammalia, Didelphimorphia, Didelphidae. The record is from Ensembl.